GACGAACGCUGGCGGCGUGCUUAACACAUGCAAGUCGAACGAAGAGCGAUGGGAGCUUGCUUCUAUCAAUCUUAGUGGCGACCGGGUGAGUAACGCGUAAUCAACCUGCCCUUCAGAGGGGGACAACAGUUGGAAACGACUGCUAAUACCGCAUACGAUCUAAUCUCGGCAUCGAGGAUAGAUGAAAGGUGGCCUCUACAUGUAAGCUAUCACUGAAGGAGGGGAUUGCGUCUGAUUAGCUAGUUGGAGGGGUAACGGCCCACCAAGGCGAUGAUCAGUAGCCGGUCUGAGAGGAUGAACGGCCACAUUGGGACUGAGACACGGCCCAGACUCCUACGGGAGGCAGCAGUGGGGAAUCUUCCGCAAUGGACGAAAGUCUGACGGAGCAACGCCGCGUGAGUGAUGACGGCCUUCGGGUUGUAAAGCUCUGUUAAUCGGGACGAAAGGCCUUCUUGCGAACAGUUAGAAGGAUUGACGGUACCGGAAUAGAAAGCCACGGCUAACUACGUG
RNAcentral lists this ribosomal RNA (510 nucleotides) under uncultured bacterium. RNAcentral's name for it is "partial 16S ribosomal RNA". It matches the Rfam family "Bacterial small subunit ribosomal RNA", at positions 28 to 507 of the family's 1533-position model. The record is from RNAcentral.